ACGCUGGCGGCAGGCUUAACACAUGCAAGUCGAACGGUAACAGGGAUUAGCUUGCUAAUUUGCUGACGAGUGGCGGACGGGUGAGUAAUGCUUGGGAAUCUGGCUUAUGGAGGGGGAUAACUACGGGAAACUGUAGCUAAUACCGCGUAAAAUCUUCGGAUUAAAGGGUGGGACUUUCGAGCCACCUGCCAUAAGAUGAGCCCAAGUGGGAUUAGGUAGUUGGUUAGGUAAAGGCUGACCAAGCCGACGAUCUCUAGCUGGUCUGAGAGGAUGACCAGCCACACUGGAACUGAGACACGGUCCAGACUCCUACGGGAGGCAGCAGUGGGGAAUAUUGCACAAUGGGGGGAACCCUGAUGCAGCCAUGCCGCGUGAAUGAAGAAGGCCUUCGGGUUGUAAAGUUCUUUCGGUGACGAGGAAGGUUGAUAGGUUAAUAGCCUAUCAAAUUGAUGUUAAUCACAGAAGAAGCACCGGCUAACUCCGUGCCAGCAGCCGCGGUAAUACGGGGGGUGCGAGCGUUAAUCGGAAUAACUGGGCGUAAAGGGCACGCAGGCGGUGACUUAAGUGAGAUGUGAAAGCCCCGGGCUUAACCUGGGAAUUGCAUUUCAUACUGGGUCGCUAGAGUACUUUAGGGAGGGGUAGAAUUCCACGUGUAGCGGUGAAAUGCGUAGAGAUGUGGAGGAAUACCGAAGGCGAAGGCAGCCCCUUGGGAAUGUACUGACGCUCAUGUGCGAAAGCGUGGGGAGCAAACAGGAUUAGAUACCCUGGUAGUCCACGCUGUAAACGAUGUCGAUUUGGGGAUUGGGCUUUGAGCUUGGUGCCCGUAGCUAACGUGAUAAAUCGACCGCCUGGGGAGUACGGCCGCAAGGUUAAAACUCAAAUGAAUUGACGGGGGCCCGCACAAGCGGUGG
This 911-nucleotide ribosomal RNA is filed under the name uncultured bacterium. RNAcentral's name for it is "bacterial SSU rRNA". It matches the Rfam family "Bacterial small subunit ribosomal RNA", at positions 33 to 935 of the family's 1533-position model. The record is from RNAcentral.